Molecule: non-coding RNA, 189 nt
Organism: Nitrospirae bacterium RBG_16_43_8
Lineage: Bacteria; Pseudomonadati; Nitrospirota
Source: Rfam
UAACUCCUGCCUUGUCCGUGAUAGGAGGGGGAAAACUUGUUCCGACAAUUAGAACAUUAUGGGAGCCGGAGUAUGGCAAGUGUGAGCGGCCCGAAACAUCGGGAGAGCAAGCCUGAUCUUGCCUUCGAGGCGCCCACCUGUGAAAACAGGGAUACAAGUUUUUCUUCUACACGGCAAGGUGGGUAUAUU